AGAGUUUGAUCAUGGCUCAGGAUGAACGCUAGCGGCAGGCUUAAUACAUGCAAGUCGUGGGGCAGCAGUCCCGCAGCAAUGCGGGAGCUGGCGACCGGCAAACGGGUGCGGAACACGUACACAACCUUCCUUUUAGUGGGGAAUAGCCCGGGGAAACCCGGAUUAAUACCCCGUAACAUAAUGAAGUGGCAUCACUUUAUUAUUAUAGCAGCAAUGCGCUUUAAGAUGGGUGUGCGACUGAUUAGGCAGUUGGCGGGGUAACGGCCCACCAAACCUACGAUCAGUAACUGGUGUGAGAGCACGACCAGUCACACGGGCACUGAGACACGGGCCCGACUCCUACGGGAGGCAGCAGUAAGGAAUAUUGGUCAAUGGACGCAAGUCUGAACCAGCCAUGCCGCGUGGAGGAUGAAGGUCCUCUGGAUUGUAAACUUCUUUUAUCUGGGAAGAAACCCACGAAUUCUUUUGUGGUUGACGGUACCAGAUGAAUAAGCACCGGCUAACUCCGUGCCAGCAGCCGCGGUAAUACGGAGGGUGCAAGCGUUAUCCGGAUUCACUGGGUUUAAAGGGUGCGUAGGUGGGCAGGUAAGUCAGUGGUGAAAUCUCCGGGCUUAACUCGGAAACUGCCAUUGAUACUAUCUGUCUUGAAUACCGUGGAGGUCAGCGGAAUAUGUCAUGUAGCGGUGAAAUGCUUAGAUAUGACAUAGAACACCAAUUGCGAAGGCAGCUGGCUACACGAAUAUUGACACUGAUGCACGAAAGCGUGGGGAUCAAACAGGAUUAGAUACCCUAGUAGUCC
RNAcentral lists this ribosomal RNA (799 nucleotides) under uncultured bacterium. RNAcentral's name for it is "bacterial SSU rRNA". It matches the Rfam family "Bacterial small subunit ribosomal RNA", at positions 8 to 796 of the family's 1533-position model. The record is from RNAcentral.